GGCGGCGUAGCUCAGUUGGUUAGAGCGAGGGUUUCAUAAACCCUAGGUCCGGGGUUCGAGGCCCCGCGCCGCCA
RNAcentral lists this transfer RNA (74 nucleotides) under Candidatus Caldipriscus sp. RNAcentral describes it as "tRNA-Met". It matches the Rfam family "tRNA". From Rfam's summary of the family: Transfer RNA (tRNA) molecules are approximately 80 nucleotides in length. The record is from RNAcentral. Lineage: Bacteria; Candidatus Caldipriscota.